Molecule: ribosomal RNA, 435 nt
Filed under: uncultured bacterium
Lineage: Bacteria
Description: partial 16S ribosomal RNA
Rfam family: Bacterial small subunit ribosomal RNA
Source: RNAcentral
AGCGAACGCUGGCGGCAGGCUUAACACAUGCAAGUCGAGCGGGCACUUUCGGGUGUCCGCGGCGGACGGGUGAGUAACGCGUUGGAACGUGCCCUCUGGUUCGGAAUAACUCAGGGAAACUUGAGCUAAUACCGGAUACGCCCUUUUGGGGAAAGGCUUGCUGCCGGAGGAUCGGCCCGCGUCCGAUUAGCUAGUUGGUGAGGUAACGGCUCACCAAGGCGACGAUCAGUAGCUGGUCUGAGAGGAUGAUCAGCCACACUGGGACUGAGACACGGCCCAGACUCCUACGGGAAGCAGCAGUGGGGAAUAUUGGACAAUGGGCGCAAGCCUGAUCCAGCCAUGCCGCGUGAGUGAUGAAGGCCUUAGGGUUGUAAAGCUCUUUUAUCCGGGACGAUAAUGACGGUACCGGAGGAAUAAGCCCCGGCUAACUUCGUG